Long non-coding RNA from Amphiprion ocellaris (clown anemonefish), 2480 nucleotides. RefSeq lists it as uncharacterized. Lineage: Eukaryota; Metazoa; Chordata; Actinopteri; Pomacentridae. The record is from RefSeq and is a predicted model, not a curated record. The transcript has 4 exons.
UCAGACCAUAGAUAAUAUAGAAGACAGCGCGCUAGCGGAUCUUGUCUCCUCCUAUAUAUAUCUAUGGUCGGAAUGUCUGGUAGCAUCUCUGGCUGCUGUUGAUCUUGUUUUUGGAGUAAAACACGGUGGAAGCUGAAUUAGUGAGGAUGACUCCUGCUCCUGUCAUCUCUAAGCUCCUCACACAUCUUUACCUGCACAUGAGGAAAAUCACUCCUGUAGAAUGCAGUGGUUCAUCAGAACCUCUGGGGAUGUCCUGUGGAUUCUGUGGAUCCUGUGGGUUGCAGGGUGGGUCCUACCUAGACCAGGCUGAUCCUGGACCAUCCCACAGAUGCUCCAUCAGAUGUGGAUGUGGGGAGUGUGGAACCCAGAUGUUCAGAGGGAGCUGAUGCCACAUCUGGUCCAGCCGAUGGAAGGUCUUGAAGUUCUCUGACUGGCCUCGACUGAAGAUGGUCGUCUCACUGGAUUUAAGGUUCAGAUGCUCAGUAACAAACUCCACCAAUGAGCCAACAGGGAAGCUUUAGGUUUAUUAAAUGUUGCUAUGAAGGUUUCGCUGUUUUUCUUUGUGAAUGCAAUGUGCUCCAACUGAAACUUGAAUUAGAACAUUGAAGUAAAUCCUUCCAUCUGAAAGGAUUUAGUUGCAUUAAUAACCUCAUAACAUUUUAAUUUUUAUUCCAGUCUUAGUUGGAAAUAGAAUCUCUGUAUUGAUUCAGGUAAAAACUGAACUUCACAGCAUGUUGGAGCAAAACAACCAGAUGAAAACUGUGAUGGUGUUGGAUUGUCAGACCGUAAUGUUGCAGCUCAAAGCAGCUUUUCUAUCUCAGUUCAUUCUGACAUUCAGCUAUGAAUCAACACAGCAGAUGGUGAUCCAUGCUGUGGAAGUCUCACAUCUCCUGAUUUAAUGGAGCUGCUUUGCACUUUUUACACUGUUUAUUCACCAACACUUUAUUUAAUAAAAGUCCCAUCUAGUUUUUAUGAGGAAUGUGAUGUUUUAAUUUCUCUGUGAAUAACUGCAGUCUAAUGCAACAGCUGGAGUUGUAACAUCUGUCCUGAUAUUGAUCAUGAAGUAUUGAUCAGAAUACUUAUGGUUAGCAGUCAUCCCUGAAGUUUUACAUUAAAAUCUUUACUUGUGUUGUGAACUUUGGUAAGAAGCAGAAACGUUAGCGUUGCCAUGGAUACAUGAGUGUUAAAUUCUGUCCAUGUUUCCAUUUUGGGAAAUUCAGUCCAGUUCCAGAAUGUGGAGGAAUUUAGUCUCACAAUCACAGACGACAAAUAUUAUCUGAAAGUCGGGUUAUUGUUGUUUAUCAGCACAAUACAAAAAGAUUCAUGUUAGAAAUAUUCCAGUUAAUACUCUAGAAUAUCAUGAUUUAUGUAAAUUUACCUCAAUAAUAUGAAGGUUCAGGUUAAGAUUGUGCAGUGAUAUUUAUUAUGUAAGUUUAACUGAUUAAAGUUUAUGACUCUGCACUAAAAUAUUAUUUAAAUUGACAUCAUUAUUAUAAUAUUUAGGGUCAGACCCUACAGUAUUGAGAUUAAGAAAUCAAAUAUUUUAGAAAAUGUAAAUACACUGAACUCAUUUGGAUGUAUUUAAGUGAGACUCUACAAUAUUAUUUGACACAAAUCUAUCUAAAUCAAAAUUUUAAUAAUUUUUACUUCAAACAUUUACUGGACUGAUUUAAACAUUAAAAUCACUCCUUUCUAAUCCUCUGCUGUAUGUUCAAACCUGAGGCCUGAAAUAGAAACACACAAGUAUCUGUUUGAAGGAACUUCUGCAGAGUCCUGGUUCCAGAACAUGAUGAUAGAAUUAUAGACAAACUUUAACAAAACCUGCCUGAGAGUUUACAGGUUUUUAUGUUAAAUUUCUUCAGUAAUUUAAUGAGAGUUAUCAGCAAUAAUCAAGUGUUCAUUUGAUGAACUUCAUUUCCUAAAACAUCCAGAAUUGGAGCUCAUAUCUUUGGCAGCUGUAAAGUUUCUGCUCCUUCAAAGUUCACAACACAACGAAUGAAUUCCUAAAACACUCUCAAUGCUGGAGAGCGUUUGUGAUGCUGAAGCAGUGACCAGUUUUUCUGUUUCUUCUCUGGAGAUGCACAAUGAGGGACGUCUGCAGAGACUGAGAAAGAGUCUCACCACAUCCUGGCAUGAGGAAAAAGACUUUAUUGAAGACUACAAUGAGAAAAACUAUCAGACAGCAGACGGCUGCAUUCAAGGUGAGCUCUGAACAUUUGAUCUGGAACAGGAAUUCAAUAACGGCAGCAUGAGCUUCAUUUCAGUCUGUAGCUGCUGAAUUCAUGGAUGAAUCAUCUGGCACUAGAGAGGAAGACCAUCAAACAUCCAUGUCAGCUGAUGGAGGUCCAAGAGUCUCACCAAACAAACAACCUACAGAGUGAAGACCUCAAAUCUGAUUGAACGGCCUCCUAUUCAGCCACGUGUGAACAAAUGCCUCUAAGUUGAUUUGUUUUCUAAAAUAAAUCUAGUUUGAGUCCUAA